UCCCUCAACCCUCGAGGCUCUUUCCCCUUCCCCCAACCCUAGCCGCCGCACGCAGCAGCCAUGGCGGAUUGCACCUUCAGCGCCGGCAGGUGCUGCUCGUCCAUGAUGUGAAGCCAUCCCCGCCCUGCUCGCCUGCGUCCGCCACCGUCGCGAACCGUCUCCUCUGUCCCCGACCACACAUCCCCGGCCUCGUCUGCCGCCAUCACCGACCAGCUCCUCCGUCCCCGACAAGUCAUCCUCAUCCUGCUCGCCGUCUUCCGCCGAAGAACCCGGCGAAUGUGUCGAUUCCCUGCCUCCCCGACCACCUCUUCCCAUUUUGCGAAGGUGAUGCCCUCUUUGCUGC
RNAcentral lists this ribosomal RNA (343 nucleotides) under Triticum aestivum (bread wheat). Its description in RNAcentral is "partial small subunit ribosomal RNA". The record is from RNAcentral. Lineage: Eukaryota; Viridiplantae; Streptophyta; Magnoliopsida; Poales; Poaceae.